Non-coding RNA from Plectropomus leopardus (leopard coralgrouper), 563 nucleotides. Lineage: Eukaryota; Metazoa; Chordata; Actinopteri; Perciformes; Serranidae. The record is from RefSeq and is a predicted model, not a curated record.
GAGGUUCAACUCUUCACUGGGGUUCUUCAGGCUUCAGGGGAGGAGCUCGAAAUCGAUAACAGCUUACCAUCUGGAAGGAAGUCUCAAUUCACUUAAAUGCACCUAAAGGAGCGAGGAUACGGGAGGCAUGCCGGAGGAGCAGUGAGCGUUAAUACAGAGGUGAGAGACAAAAGUAGAGGAGGCGAGGAAAAGAACUGAUGUCCAAACAGAAGUGAGAAAAGCCUCCUGUCCACAGCUACUUCCUCACUAACCUCACCGUCGUGCAUUGCCAUUCUCCAUCCAUCCACCAGAUGCCCUCAGACUUCCCCACCUGUCCCAGUCACCUGACUCUCUCAUUCACCUGCUAACCUGUUUCCAUUUCCCCCCAUCAGCCCUUGACACUCAUUCCCUGUCAGUUUCUUGCUUUGUGCCUUCCUAUGCAGCCAUCUGGACCUGGAUGUGGACCUGGAUCUGAACCUGAACCAAACUUUUACCGGCCUACCUCGUCACAACAGCAGCAGGGAUGACUGAAAUAAAGAGAAAGAAGAAUUAAGAAAAAGGUAAGGGGGGAAGGGAUUUCACAA